Molecule: ribosomal RNA, 383 nt
Filed under: uncultured eukaryote
Lineage: Eukaryota
Description: partial 18S ribosomal RNA
Rfam family: Eukaryotic small subunit ribosomal RNA
Source: RNAcentral
CAAUAGCGUAUAUUAAAGUUGUUGCAGUUAAAAAGCUCGUAGUUGGAUUUGUGGUGUGUCUUGCUUUGCCUUGGGUUUUUAUCCCUUGCGCAUGUGCGAGUCUGCCAUGUUUGGGUGGAUCCAGUGUGGCAUUAGGUUGUCGCGCUGGGGAUGCCCAUCGUUUACUGUGAAAAAUUAGAGUGUUCAAAGCAGGCUUAUGCCGUUGAAUAUAUUAGCAUGGAAUAAUGAUAUAGGACCUUGGUACUAUUUUGUUGGUUUGCGCACUGAGGUAAUGAUUAAUAGGGACAGUUGGGGGUAUUCGUAUUCCAUUGUCAGAGGUGAAAUUCUUGGAUUUUUGGAAGACGAACUACUGCGAAAGCAUUUACCAAGGAUGUUUUCAUUAA